UUGAACGCUGGCGGAAUGCUUUACACAUGCAAGUCGAACGGCAGCACGGGGGCAACCCUGGUGGCGAGUGGCGAACGGGUGAGUAAUGCAUCGGAACGUGCCCGAUCGUGGGGGAUAACGCAGCGAAAGCUGCGCUAAUACCGCAUACGAUCUGAGGAUGAAAGCGGGGGACCGUAAGGCCUCGCGCGAUCGGAGCGGCCGAUGUCAGAUUAGGUAGUUGGUGGGGUAAAGGCUCACCAAGCCGACGAUCUGUAGCUGGUCUGAGAGGACGACCAGCCACACUGGGACUGAGACACGGCCCAGACUCCUACGGGAGGCAGCAGUGGGGAAUUUUGGACAAUGGGCGCAAGCCUGAUCCAGCAAUGCCGCGUGCAGGAAGAAGGCCUUCGGGUUGUAAACUGCUUUUGUACGGAGCGAAAAGGCUCUCUCUAAUACAGGGGGCUCAUGACGGUACCGUAAGAAUAAGCACCGGCUAACUACGU
Molecule: ribosomal RNA, 482 nt
Filed under: uncultured bacterium
Lineage: Bacteria
Description: bacterial SSU rRNA
Rfam family: Bacterial small subunit ribosomal RNA
Source: RNAcentral